Homo sapiens (human) is the source of this 155-nucleotide small nuclear RNA. The record is from Ensembl. Lineage: Eukaryota; Metazoa; Chordata; Mammalia; Primates; Hominidae.
AUUGCUUCUUGACCUUUUGUCUGAGAUCAAAUGUAGCACCUGCUCUUACCAGCUUAAUACCUGAUAUGUCCUCUAUCUAUCUUAAAAGUCAGCCACUUUAAGGAUCUUUCUGGGAAGCCCCAUCUAAUAGCUCAGAUAUCAUGAGCUAAAACCUU